CCUACGGGUGGCAGCAGUGAGGAAUAUUGGUCAAUGGACGAGAGUCUGAACCAGCCAAGUAGCGUGAAGGAUGACUGCCCUAUGGGUUGUAAACUUCUUUUAUAUGGGAAUAAAACGUUCCACGUGUGGGAUUUUGUAUGUACCAUAUGAAUAAGGAUCGGCUAACUCCGUGCCAGCAGCCGCGGUAAUACGGAGGAUCCGAGCGUUAUCCGGAUUGAUGGGGUUUAAAGGGAGAGUAGGUGGAUUGUUAAGUCAGUUGUGAAAGUUUGCGGCUCAACCGUAAAAGUGCAGUUGAAACUGGCAGGAGUGAUGACUGUAGAGGUGGGCGGAAUUCGUGGUGUAGCGGUGAAAUGCUCAGAUAUCACGAAGAACUCCGAUUGCGAAGGCAGUUCACUGGACUGCAACUGACACUGAGGCUCGAAAGUGUGGGUAUCAAACAGGAUUAGAUACCCGAGUAGUC
RNAcentral lists this ribosomal RNA (460 nucleotides) under uncultured bacterium. RNAcentral describes it as "partial 16S ribosomal RNA". It matches the Rfam family "Bacterial small subunit ribosomal RNA", at positions 338 to 795 of the family's 1533-position model. The record is from RNAcentral.